Molecule: microRNA precursor, 101 nt
Filed under: Caenorhabditis brenneri
Lineage: Eukaryota; Metazoa; Nematoda; Chromadorea; Rhabditida; Rhabditidae
Description: pre miRNA CBN34147
Source: RNAcentral
AAAAAUCCCGAGACGGGACCAGAGCAGAUUUACUCCCGGUGAUAAACACUAUGAUCGGACUUAUCACCAGUAGAGAAAUCAGCUCGGUUCCCGCCUCAGGA